RNAcentral lists this ribosomal RNA (499 nucleotides) under uncultured bacterium. Its description in RNAcentral is "partial 16S ribosomal RNA". It matches the Rfam family "Bacterial small subunit ribosomal RNA", at positions 899 to 1397 of the family's 1533-position model. The record is from RNAcentral.
ACUCAAAUGAAUUGACGGGGGCCCGCACAAGCGGUGGAGCAUGUGGUUCAAUUCGACGCAACGCGAAGAACCUUACCUGGACUCGAAAUGCAGUUGCCGCUUUCAGAGAUGAAGGUUUCCCGCAAGGGACGACUGUAUAGGUGCUGCAUGGCUGUCGUCAGCUCGUGUCGUGAGAUGUUGGGUUAAGUCCCGCAACGAGCGCAACCCUCACCCUUAGUUGCUCGUCCGCAAGGAAAGCACCCUAAGGGAACUGCCCGGGAUAACCGGGAGGAAGGUGGGGAUGACGUCAAGUCCUCAUGGCCUUUAUGCCCAGGGCUACACACGUGCUACAAUGGCCGGUACAAAGCGUCGCCAACCCGCAAGGGGGAGCCAAUCGCAAAAAACCGGUCUCAGUUCGGAUUGCAGGCUGCAACUCGCCUGCAUGAAGCUGGAAUCGCUAGUAAUCGCGUAUCAGAACGAUGCGGUGAAUACGUUCCCGGGCCUUGUACACACCGCCCGU